Molecule: long non-coding RNA, 867 nt
Organism: Nannospalax galili (Upper Galilee mountains blind mole rat)
Lineage: Eukaryota; Metazoa; Chordata; Mammalia; Rodentia; Spalacidae
Exons: 4
Source: RefSeq, a predicted model, not a curated record
GGGAAUGAAAGGAUCAGUAAGUCUUUAUAUCUAGAAACCAUCCGGCCACACCAGAAUGACAAAGAAAAACAAAACAAAGGCCAUCCAGAGCGCCCUGAGAUAACAUACUAAGAUGAAAGUAAAGGCUGAAUAUGAUUGUCAUCCUGACUUUGAGGUUCAGUUUGUGCAGCUCAAUAGCAUGUCUCUUUCGUUCUCAAGAAAGUCAUUACGAAACACCUUAUAGUUUUGUGUCUAGCAGACUCUUAAAAUGGUGGCACAGCUCCCAAUAUUCUAAAAUGGUAUGUGUAAACUUAGCCCUGGAAAGUCCCUCGUUUAUUGGGAGACCAACCAAUCCCAACCUAAACUGCCCAGCCUACACCAUGGAAAGUCACCCAAGCACCUAACUGCCUAUAAAAGAUGUCUGACUUCCCCUGCUGCUUGCUGUUUCUCUGCUCCUCAAGAGGCAGCCCAGUGUUCUGCUCGCUAUCAUAGAGUUGUCCUGCUAAUGCACCCAGCCCUUGGCAACAGUGGAUCUGCUUUUUGACACUUACUGGGUCACCUGUCCCUGGUGUCCUCUGGAGUUUUGUUCCAGUCUCCUCACUCUCUCCCCCUGUGGUGGUUUGAAUGAGAAUGUUCCUCAGAGGCUCCAUGUUUCUGGACAUUUUGUCCCCAGUUGGUGAUGCCAUUUUCAGACGUCUUAGGAGGGGUGGCCUGCUGAAGGAAGUGUGUCACUGGGGACAGACUUUGAGAGAUCUUGAGGUUUUCCAGAUUUCUAGAUGAUCUCUACUUCUUGUGCCUGCUUGAAGAUAUGAGUGCUCCUUGUUUUACUCUGGCCACCUCUUGCCACCAUGCCUCCCUGCCAUGACGGAUUCUGAUUCUUCUGGAACU